Molecule: small nuclear RNA, 324 nt
Filed under: Microcebus murinus (gray mouse lemur)
Lineage: Eukaryota; Metazoa; Chordata; Mammalia; Primates; Cheirogaleidae
Description: 7SK RNA (ENSMICG00000038675.2)
Rfam family: 7SK RNA (bases 1-283)
About the family: 7SK was discovered as an abundant small nuclear RNA in the mid-70s but a possible function has only recently been suggested.
Source: Rfam by way of RNAcentral
GGAUGUGAGGGCGAUCUGGCUGCCACAUCUGUCACCCCACUGAUCGCCAGGGUUGAUUCCGCUGAUCUGGCUGGCUGGGCGGGUGUCCCCUUCCUCCCUCACUGCUCCACGUGCCUCCCUCCCAAAGCUGUGCGCUCGAUCAAAGAGGACGACCUUCCCCGCUAGAGGAGGACCGGUCCUCGGUCAAGGGUAUAUGAGUAGCUGCGCUCCCCUGCUAGAACCUCCAAACAAGUUCUCCAUUUUUCUUUAAAAGCAGCAACCGAAUUGUAGUCCAGGGUUUUGUGUCAUGGAUGAGAGACUGCUGAUUGUGGGUAGGGGCUCCUC